ACGCUCGACACCUACGGGGGCAGCAGUGGGGAAUAUUGCACAAUGGGGGAAACCCUGAUGCAGCGACGCCGCGUGGAGGAAGAAGGUCUUCGGAUUGUAAACUCCUGUUGUUGGGGAAAAAGAGGAUGGUACCCAACAAGGAAGUGACGGCUAACUACGUGCCUGCAGCCGCGGUAAUCUGAGGCGGGCUGGCAAGGC
This 198-nucleotide ribosomal RNA is filed under the name uncultured bacterium. Its description in RNAcentral is "partial 16S ribosomal RNA". It matches the Rfam family "Bacterial small subunit ribosomal RNA", at positions 328 to 539 of the family's 1533-position model. The record is from RNAcentral.